UAGGGAAUCUUCCGCAAUGGACGAAAGUCUGACGGAGCAACGCCGCGUGAGUGAUGAAGGUUUUCGGAUCGUAAAGCUCUGUUGCCAGGGAAGAACGUCCGUUAGAGUAACUGCUAACGGAGUGACGGUACCUGAGAAGAAAGCCCCGGCUAACUACGUGCCAGCAGCCGCGGUAAUACGUAGGGGGCAAGCGUUGUCCGGAAUUAUUGGGCGUAAAGCGCGCGCAGGCGGCUAUUUAAGUCUGGUGUUUAAUUCCAAGGCUCAACCUUGGGUCGCAUUGGAA
Molecule: ribosomal RNA, 283 nt
Filed under: uncultured Paenibacillus sp.
Lineage: Bacteria; Bacillati; Bacillota; Bacilli; Caryophanales; Paenibacillaceae
Description: partial 16S ribosomal RNA
Rfam family: Bacterial small subunit ribosomal RNA
Source: RNAcentral